RNAcentral lists this ribosomal RNA (795 nucleotides) under uncultured bacterium. RNAcentral's name for it is "bacterial SSU rRNA". It matches the Rfam family "Bacterial small subunit ribosomal RNA", at positions 8 to 796 of the family's 1533-position model. The record is from RNAcentral.
AGAGUUUGAUCAUGGCUCAGAUUGAACGCUGGCGGCAUGCCUUACACAUGCAAGUCGAACGGCAGCACGGGGCAACCUGGUGGCGAGUGGCGAACGGGUGAGUAAUAUAUCGGAACGUACCCUAGAGUGGGGGAUAACGUAGCGAAAAGUUACGCUAAUACCGCAUACGAUCUAAGGAUGAAAAGUGGGGGAUUCGCAAGAGCCUCAUGCUCGUGGAGCGGCCGAUAUCUGAUUAGCUAGUUGGUAGGGUAAAAGCCUACCAAGGCAUCGAUCAGUAGCUGGUCUGAGAGGACGACCAGCCACACUGGAACUGAGACACGGUCCAGACUCCUACGGGAGGCAGCAGUGGGGAAUUUUGGACAAUGGGCGAAAGCCUGAUCCAGCAAUGCCGCGUGAGUGAAGAAGGCCUUCGGGUUGUAAAGCUCUUUUGUCAGGGAAGAAACGGAUUGGUCUAAUACACUGGUCUAAUGACGGUACCUGAAGAAUAAGCACCGGCUAACUACGUGCCAGCAGCCGCGGUAAUACGUAGGGUGCAAGCGUUAAUCGGAAUUACUGGGCGUAAAGCGUGCGCAGGCGGUUAUGUAAGACAGAUGUGAAAUGCCCGGGCUUAACCUGGGAACUGCAUUUGUGACUGCAUGGCUAGAAUCUGGCAGAGGGGGGUAGAAUUCCACGUGUAGCAGUGAAAUGCGUAGAUAUGUGGAGGAAUACCGAUGGCGAAGGCAGCCCCCUGGGCUAAGAUUGACGCUCAUGCACGAAAGCGUGGGGAGCAAACAGGAUUAGAUACCCUAGUAGUCC